AACGAACGCUGGCGGCAUGCCUAACACAUGCAAGUCGAACGAGACCUUCGGGUCUAGUGGAGCACGGGUGCGUAACGCGUGGGAACCUGCCCUUAGGUUCGGAAUAACUCCCCGAAAGGGGUGCUAAUACCAGAUAAUGUCUUCGGACCAAAGAUUUAUCGCCUUUGGAUGGGCCCGCGUUGGAUUAGCUAGUUGGUAGGGUAAAAGCCUACCAAGGCGACGAUCCAUAGCUGGUCUGAGAGGAUGAUCAGCCACACUGGGACUGAGACACGGCCCAGACUCCUACGGGAGGCAGCAGUGGGGAAUAUUGGACAAUGGGCGAAAGCCUGAUCCAGCAAUGCCGCGUGAGUGAUGAAGGCCUUAGGGUUGUAAAGCUCUUUUACCCGGGAUGAUAAUGACAGUACCGGGAGAAUAAGCUCCGGCUAACUCCGUG
This 433-nucleotide ribosomal RNA is filed under the name uncultured bacterium. RNAcentral's name for it is "partial 16S ribosomal RNA". It matches the Rfam family "Bacterial small subunit ribosomal RNA", at positions 29 to 507 of the family's 1533-position model. The record is from RNAcentral.